GAUGAACGCUGGCGGCGUGCUUAACACAUGCAAGUCGAACGGAAGGGCCCUGAUUUUGCGGGGUGCUCGAGUGGCGAACGGGUGAGUAACACGUGAGUAACCUGCCCUUGACUUUGGGAUAACUUCAGGAAACUGGGGCUAAUACCGGAUAGGAGCUCCUGCUGCAUGGUGGGCGUUGGAAAGUUUCGGCGGUUGGGGAUGGACUCGCGGCUUAUCAGCUUGUUGGUGGGGUAGUGGCUUACCAAGGCUUUGACGGCUAGCCGGCCUGAGAGGGUGACCGGCCACAAUGGGACUGAGAUACGGCGCAGACUGCUACGGGACGCAGCAGUCGGGAAUAUUGCACAAUGGGCGGGAGCCUGAGACAGCAGCGCCGCGUGCGUGAUGACGGCCUUCGAGUUGUGAACCGCUUUCUCCGGUGACGAAGCGUGAGUGACGGUAAUUGGUAAAGAAGCACCGGCUAACUACGUG
This 468-nucleotide ribosomal RNA is filed under the name uncultured bacterium. Its description in RNAcentral is "partial 16S ribosomal RNA". It matches the Rfam family "Bacterial small subunit ribosomal RNA", at positions 28 to 507 of the family's 1533-position model. The record is from RNAcentral.